AUGGGCUUCAUCCAGAUGGAGUUGGAGGACGGCUGGGGGCGUGAGACAAGCCAGAGGCAGGGUCCACCGCCAAGUGUACGAGCAGGAGCAGAGACGAGCCAGAGGCGAGGUCAAGGGCCAAGUACAGCAGCAGGGGCCGAGACAAGCCAGAGGCAGGGUCUACAGCCAAGUGUACAAGCAGGAGCAGAGAAGAGCCAGAGGCGAGGUCCACAGCCAAGUGUACGAGCAGGAGCAGAGACGAGCCAGAGGCAGGGUCCACAGCCAAGUGUACAACCAGAAACGACCCAGAGGCAGGCUCAACGCCCAAGUACAGGAGCAGGGGCAGAGACGAGCCAGAGGCAGGGUCAAAGGCCAAGUACAGGAGCAGAGACAGAGACGAGCCAGAGGCGAGGUCCACAGCCAAGUACAGGAGCAGAGACGAGCCAGAGGCAGGGUCAACGGCCAAGUACAGGAGCAGAGGCAGAGACUAGCCAGAGGCGAGGUUCACAGCCCAGUACAAGAGCAGGGGCAAAGAUGAGCCAGAGGCGAGGUUCACAGCCUAGUACAAGAGCAGGGACAGAGACGAGCCAGAAGCAGGGUCAACGGCCAAGUACAAGAGCGGGGGCAGAGACGAGCCAGAGGCAGGGUCCAUGGCCAAGUGCAGGAGCAGGACCAGAGACGAGCCAGAGCCAGGGUCAACGGCCAAGUACAGGAGCAGAGGCAGAGACAAGCCAGAGGCGAGGUUCACAGCAUAGUACAAGAGCAGGGGCAGAGAUGAGCCAGAGGCGAGGUCAACAAUCAAGUACAGGUGCAGAGACGAGCCAGAGGCGAGGUCCAUGGCCAAGUACAGGAGCAGGAGCAGAGACAAGCCAGAGGCAGUGUCUACAGCCAAGUACAGGAGCAGGGGCAGAGAUGAGCCAGAGGCGAGGUUCACAGCAUAGUACAAGAGCAGGGGCAGAGACGAGCCAGAGGCGAGGUCAACAAUCAAGUACAGGAGCAGAGACAAGCCAGAGGCGAGGUCCACGCCCAAGUACAGGAGCAGGAGCAGAGACGAGCCAGAGGCAGGGUCCACAACCAAGUACAGGAGCAGGGGCAGAGACGAGCCAGAGGCGAGGUCCACGGCCAAGUACAGGAGCAGAGACGAGCCAGAGGCGAGGUCCACAGCCAUGUACAGGAGCAGGGGCAGAGAUGAGCCAGAGGCAAGGUCAACAAUCAAGUACAAGAGCAGAGACGAGUCAGAGGCGAGGUCCACGGCCAAGCACAGGAUCAUGGACAAGCCAACUGGAAUCUAGAAUCACUCCCACUCCCCCGGAGGGGAGUCGGAAAGAGGGACAAUACAUGAAUCGUACUGCACGAAACAGAGGCAUGGAGAACCAAAUGUUAUAUAUGUGA
This 1371-nucleotide long non-coding RNA is filed under the name Oryzias sinensis (Chinese medaka). Its description in RNAcentral is "lncRNA (ENSOSIG00000015165.1)". Lineage: Eukaryota; Metazoa; Chordata; Actinopteri; Beloniformes; Adrianichthyidae. The record is from RNAcentral.